AGUGAACGCUGGCGGUAGGCCUAACACAUGCAAGUCGAACGGCAGCACAGUAAGAGCUUGCUCUUACGGGUGGCGAGUGGCGGACGGGUGAGGAAUACAUCGGAAUCUACUUUUCGUGGGGGAUAACGUAGGGAAACUUACGCUAAUACCGCAUACGACCUACGGGUGAAAGCAGGGGAUCUUCGGACCUUGCGCGAUUGAAUGAGCCGAUGUCGGAUUAGCUAGUUGGCGGGGUAAAGGCCCACCAAAGCGACGAUCCGUAGCUGGUCUGAGAGGAUGAUCAGCCACACUGGAACUGAGACACGGUCCAGACUCCUACGGGAGGCAGCAGUGGGGAAUAUUGGACAAAGGGCGCAAGCCUGAUCCAGCCAUACCGCGUGGGUGAAGAAGGCCUUCGGGUUGUAAAGCCCUUUUGUUGGGAAAGAAAAGCAGCAGGUUAAUACCCCGCUGUUCUGACGGUACCCAAAGAAUAAGCACCGGCUAACUUCGUG
This 491-nucleotide ribosomal RNA is filed under the name uncultured bacterium. Its description in RNAcentral is "partial 16S ribosomal RNA". It matches the Rfam family "Bacterial small subunit ribosomal RNA", at positions 29 to 507 of the family's 1533-position model. The record is from RNAcentral.